AGACACAGUUCUUCCGGUCUGCUCCCAUUGAGGUGUCGGAGGAAUUGAAAGGCAACGCCCUGGCGCUCCUUCAAUCUGUCUCCAGGAGAGUGCCACUGAGAGACACCAAGGAGGUGUCAGUAGAGAGGUGGUGGAGGUCAGUUAUUUUUGUCCACAAAGAUUGGUUGUUCAGUCCAGGGUUAUGCUAACAUUGUGGUCUUGCAUACAGAUAUGAAUUCUAGAUAACCUACUCUAAACACUAAUAAGUUUACCUUGUCCAGCUCUCUGCCCCACAGAAAGUGACAGUGGGAAAAGGAAGUUCCUUUGAGGACGGCCACUUUGAGAGAGGGCACAACCAGCAUAGCUGUUAGCCUAUGGAGGGAGGCUGCAGUCAUCCCUCUGAAAGUGGGAGAGGUGAUCACCUUGACCCAUUUAUAAGGACACACAUCCAGUUAUGGCUAGAAGCUGCAGUCAUCUGAUUACACUGCAGUAGAGGACUCAAACGCCAUCACUGCGUGUAGGAGCUCUUGGGGUGAUGGAGAGUCCAAGUAAGCCUGGGAUCCUGAAGCUCCUGACCAUG
This is a long non-coding RNA of Lates calcarifer (barramundi perch), 559 nucleotides long. RefSeq lists it as uncharacterized. The transcript has 3 exons. Lineage: Eukaryota; Metazoa; Chordata; Actinopteri; Centropomidae. The record is from RefSeq and is a predicted model, not a curated record.